RNAcentral lists this small nucleolar RNA (130 nucleotides) under Nannospalax galili (Upper Galilee mountains blind mole rat). RNAcentral describes it as "Small nucleolar RNA SNORA42/SNORA80 family (ENSNGAG00000005775.1)". It matches the Rfam family "Small nucleolar RNA SNORA42/SNORA80 family", at positions 29 to 136 of the family's 136-position model. Rfam says of the family: The members of this family belong to the H/ACA class of snoRNAs that guide the sites of modification of uridines to pseudouridines. Human ACA42 (SNORA42) was cloned from HeLa cells by immunoprecipitation with anti-GAR1 antibody. Lineage: Eukaryota; Metazoa; Chordata; Mammalia; Rodentia; Spalacidae. The record is from RNAcentral.
UCAAAGUAAGACUUUAGAAAAAGGAAUGUCUGGGCCUCUCAUAGUGUUUCAUGAUAGAGCAAACUGUGCCUCUGAACCAUUGCCUGGCCUCUGUAUAUAGGCUGCUGGAACUGAAGUGGGUCACACAGUA